UACGUAGGAGGCAAGCGUUGUCCGGAAUUACUGGGCGUAAAGCGCGUGUAGGCGGCCUGGCAAGUGGAAGGUGAAAUCCCUCGGCUUAACCGAGGAACUGCCCUCCAAACUGCUUGGCUUGAGUCCGGGAGAGGUGAGUGGAAUUCCCAGUGUAGCGGUGAAAUGCGUAGAUAUUGGGAGGAACACCAGUGGCGAAGGCGGCUCACUGGACCGGAACUGACGCUGAGGCGCGAAAGCGUGGGGAGCAAACGGG
Molecule: ribosomal RNA, 253 nt
Filed under: uncultured bacterium
Lineage: Bacteria
Description: partial 16S ribosomal RNA
Rfam family: Bacterial small subunit ribosomal RNA
Source: RNAcentral